RNAcentral lists this small RNA (83 nucleotides) under Marmota monax (woodchuck). The record is from RNAcentral. Lineage: Eukaryota; Metazoa; Chordata; Mammalia; Rodentia; Sciuridae.
GCUGGGUGCAGUACCCCACACCUGUAAUCCCAGUUGCUUGGGAGGCUGAGGCAGGAGGAUCACGAGUUCAAAGCCAGCCUCAA